This 248-nucleotide ribosomal RNA is filed under the name uncultured bacterium. RNAcentral describes it as "partial 16S ribosomal RNA". It matches the Rfam family "Bacterial small subunit ribosomal RNA", at positions 15 to 244 of the family's 1533-position model. The record is from RNAcentral.
GAUCAUGGCUCAGGAUGAACGCUGGCGGCGUGCUUAACACAUGCAAGUCGAGCGAGAAGCUUUGGAAUGAAACUUCGGUUGAAAUGAAAGAGUGGAAAGCGGCGGACGGGUGAGUAACGCGUAGGCAACCUGCCCCAUACACAGGGAUAGCCUCGGGAAACCGGGAUUAAAAACCUGAUAACACAAGAGGGUCACAUGGUUCUUUUGUCAAAGAUUUAUCGGUAUGGGAUGGGCCUGCGUCUGAUUAG